Molecule: ribosomal RNA, 468 nt
Filed under: uncultured Latescibacterota bacterium
Lineage: Bacteria; Pseudomonadati; Candidatus Latescibacterota
Description: bacterial SSU rRNA
Rfam family: Bacterial small subunit ribosomal RNA
Source: RNAcentral
CCCGCACAAGCGGUGGAGCAUGUGGUUUAAUUCGAUGCAACGCGAAGAACCUUACCUAGACUUGACAUCCCGGGAAUCCUUAGGAAACUAAGGAGUGCCUUUCGGGGAGCCCGGAGACAGGUGCUGCAUGGCUGUCGUCAGCUCGUGUCGUGAGAUGUUGGGUUAAGUCCCGCAACGAGCGCAACCCUUAUCCCUAGUUGCCAUCAGGUAAAGCUGGGGAACUCUGGGGAGACUGCCGGUGAUAAACCGGAGGAAGGCGGGGAUGACGUCAAGUCCUCAUGGCCCUUACAUCCCGGGCUACACACGUGCUACAAUGGCAGGUACAGAGGGCUGCGAAGCCGCGAGGUGGAGCGAAUCCCAGAAAACCUGUCUCAGUCCGGAUUGAAGUCUGCAACUCGACUUCAUGAAGGCGGAAUCGCUAGUAACCGCGAAUCAGCAGGUCCGCGGUCGAAUACGUUCCCGGGCCUU